CACCAACCUCCACUACUCCCCAGAGGACACUGGAUAUGCGCUCUCAGGAAGGGCGUCCACGUAGCCUCAGGGAUGGAGACAACCACGAAAUCCUGUCAGCCUUAACAGCCAGGAAAGGAAAACCAACAAAUGGCAGUUUAAAGGUUACAGCGAUUCAGCUGUCCAUCAGUGAGUAUGUGGGGCAGGCCCAUCACGUGGCACUGUGUGAGGCGCUGCGGGACAUGCGGGGAUGAAUACAGCACUGCCAGGGCCCUUGAGGAGCCCCAGAUCUUGUGACAGUGGAAGAACAUGAGACUUGGAGUCAGACUGGAAGCCAAGGAGAGAGGCCUCAGGAGAAACCAGUCCUGCAACCCCUUGAUCUCAGACACCUUGAUCAGAACCUCCAGACUGUGAGAUAACCAAUAUCCAUUGUUUAAGCCACCCAGCCUAUUGUGCUUUGUGAUGGCAGCCCCAGCAAACUCCUACAUCACCCUCACUUAAUUUAUCUGUUUUAGGCAGUAUUUAUUUCUUACUCUGACAGUUGAGGAAUUAGCUUUCUCGUACCACGCUAACUUCCAUUUUUUCUUCUCCCCUUAUCCUCAUAAUAUAGUUUUCCACAAUUUAUAGUUAAAUCAAUAGUUAGUGUUUACAUUAUUGAUUAGGUAAAUAAAUACUGUCCACUCAA
Leopardus geoffroyi (Geoffroy's cat) is the source of this 664-nucleotide long non-coding RNA. RefSeq lists it as uncharacterized. The transcript is spliced from 2 exons. The record is from RefSeq and is a predicted model, not a curated record. Lineage: Eukaryota; Metazoa; Chordata; Mammalia; Carnivora; Felidae.